Molecule: long non-coding RNA, 872 nt
Filed under: Ananas comosus (pineapple)
Lineage: Eukaryota; Viridiplantae; Streptophyta; Magnoliopsida; Poales; Bromeliaceae
Description: long non-coding RNA (ACOM_LNC017500)
Source: RNAcentral
UCCCGUGUACCGGUACACCAGGGUAGGUGAGAGGGUGUUUUGGUCUUUUCUCUCCCUCGUUUGUAUCACCAGCCCUCUCUCUCUCUAUUUAGCCUUGUGAGGACAGAGAGAGGGAGUUCCUCUGUUGCUACUUCCUCUCUCUCACUCUCCAACAGAUCUUAGGCUAGGGAGGAUCUCGGUUGGAGCUUUCGUUGCCGACGUCGCGCCGCGGAGCCGUCCGGGGAUACGGUUGCUGCCGUUACAACGCGAGGAGGCCGGGCGAGCGGAGGUUUUCAUCGUUUUUGCUGUCGCAGCAGUGCCCGGUGUUGUCGAGGUGAGUGUCUGUUGGAGGAAAAAUUCUAAAAUGCAACGAGUAUAUUAGUGACGUGGCGUAACAAACCAAUCAAAUUAAUCCUUUUAAGAAUAUAUGUCCCAUCAUGAUUGUAAAAAAGUAUUUUUAUUGUACUUUUGUUUAAAAAAAGGAAUGUGAUUGGCUUGUUAUUGAUGAUGUGGUGCAAGUGUGACAGUGUAGAAUUCCUCCUGUUGGAGUGGCUUCGAUUAAUCCGGGUAUCACCGAAUUAGAGCUUAAGUGCUGUUUUCGCAGAAUUUCACCGUCGACUGUUUGUAUUUUUGGCUCGUUCUCGACGUAGGAGCAUCGGAUUGCGACGAGACUUGGUUCGUUGGAUUCAGGACUGCGAGAGGAAUCCACGAAGCCCUUACUUGCUGGAUUUGGUGAAGGUUAGCUUGGUCGAAUCCCUGUUGUACCUCACUGCUGAAAUUCGGGACUGAAACGGUGAUUUAUUGUCGUGUAGAGCUCGAGCGUGGACGAUUUCUGGACUCGGAGCUGUGCGUGUGAUCCAGCAAGUUGCUCGACACCAGUGGGAGUCCUUCGC